Long non-coding RNA from Rhinolophus ferrumequinum (greater horseshoe bat), 197 nucleotides. RefSeq lists it as uncharacterized. The record is from RefSeq and is a predicted model, not a curated record. NCBI's taxonomy places the organism in Eukaryota, Metazoa, Chordata, Mammalia, Chiroptera, Rhinolophidae. The transcript has 3 exons.
CCCUGGCACAACUGUCAGGGCUGAGGUAUCCAGCUCUGCAUCAUGGACACGAAUGACCUCUAGACCAGAGUCCUCGGAAUGAGGCAAAAGGGAGAGAUGGGAGCCCUGUGCUUCCAGAGCCUGCCUGAGCAAUGGUGGCAAGAUGAAUCAACCCCACCUCUGUCCUUCCCGUCAUCAUAAGGGUGCCCAGGGACAGG